CAGAGUUCAUGCCCGAAAGGGUAGACCUCCCACCCUUGUGUAUUAUUACUUUGUUGCUUUGGCGAGCUGCCUUCGGGCCUUGUAUGCUCGCCAGAGAAUACCA
Molecule: unclassified non-coding RNA, 103 nt
Filed under: Botrytis cinerea
Lineage: Eukaryota; Fungi; Ascomycota; Leotiomycetes; Helotiales; Sclerotiniaceae
Description: ITS1
Source: RNAcentral